UAUAUUAUAGUUUAUUAAAACAUUAAAUUGCAAAUUUAAAGAAAUUUAUUUAAAUAAAUUAAUAUAU
RNAcentral lists this transfer RNA (67 nucleotides) under Leptothorax acervorum. RNAcentral describes it as "tRNA-Cys". Lineage: Eukaryota; Metazoa; Arthropoda; Insecta; Hymenoptera; Formicidae. RNAcentral also lists the same sequence under 1 other name. The record is from RNAcentral.